This 735-nucleotide ribosomal RNA is filed under the name Triticum aestivum (bread wheat). RNAcentral's name for it is "partial small subunit ribosomal RNA". Lineage: Eukaryota; Viridiplantae; Streptophyta; Magnoliopsida; Poales; Poaceae. The record is from RNAcentral.
AUGUUCAGAAGAGAUUUAAUUGGACCCAGACUCCAAUCAUGGUACAUCCUGCUCCAACUGUUGUCCACAGUGCAUUUGUCAUAUGGGUCUGAUGUAUUUCGAUGGAAUCUACAUGGGAAUGAGCAAUUCUCAGUGGAAUCUAUGUAUAGAGCAUUAAUCCAGUCUAAUGUGCCAAAUGAUAAUAAUAAGAAGAUCUAAAAGAUAAAGAUACCUCUUAAGAAUAAAAUAUUUGCACGGUAUCUUCGUCGCGGAGUCAUUCUGACUAAAGAUAACCUUAUCAAGAGGAAAUGGCAUGGAAGUCCGCAAUGUAUUUUUUGUCAUCACAAUGAGACAAUAAAACAUUUAUUCUUCCAAUGCAAAUUGGCUCGAUCUAUAUGGUCAGUCAUCCAGAUAACUUCUGGCUUGUAUCUUCUUUGUAGUGUUGCUAAUGUAUUUGGCAACUGGUUAUAUGAGAUUGAUCACAGGUGUAGAACUCUUCUUAGGAUGGGAGCGCUUGCUGUUAUUUGGUCGCUUUGGCUAUGUAGGAAUGAUAAGGGUUUUAACGAUAAAAGUACUUCUUUAAUACAGAUUAUCUACACAUGUACCGGGACUCUUCGUUUAUGGUUCUCUCUACAACGCGUGGAGAAUCAAGACCUAUUUUUGGAGAUGUGUACACGAUUAGAGGAUGCGGCGAGGGAUACUUUUACCCAACAUGGAUGGCAGCAUGAUCUUAGGAUUGACCCACCUUCACUUUAG